RNAcentral lists this ribosomal RNA (253 nucleotides) under uncultured bacterium. RNAcentral's name for it is "partial 16S ribosomal RNA". It matches the Rfam family "Bacterial small subunit ribosomal RNA", at positions 524 to 776 of the family's 1533-position model. The record is from RNAcentral.
AACGUAGGACACAAGCGUUAUCCGGAGUUACUGGGCGUAAAGGGCGUGUAGGCGGGAAGGAAAGUCAGAUGUGAAAUCCCCAGGCUCAACCUGGGAACUGCAUUUGAAACUCCCUUUCUUGAGUACCGGAGAGGAAAGUGGAAUUCCUGGUGUAGCGGUGAAAUGCGCAGAUAUCAGGAGGAACACCGGUGGCGAAGGCGGGUCUCUGGGCAGUAACUGACGCUGAGGAGCGAAAGCGUGGGGAGCGAACAGG